RNAcentral lists this ribosomal RNA (401 nucleotides) under uncultured bacterium. Its description in RNAcentral is "partial 16S ribosomal RNA". It matches the Rfam family "Bacterial small subunit ribosomal RNA", at positions 28 to 416 of the family's 1533-position model. The record is from RNAcentral.
GACGAACGCUGGCGGCGUGCUUAACACAUGCAAGUCGAGGGCACUAUUGGGGGCAACUUGGUAGUGACCGGCGAACGGGUGCGUAACACGUGAGCGACCUUGCCUCGUGGUGGGGGAUAGCCGGCCCAACGGCCGGGUAAUACCGCAUAUGGUAGUUUCUUCGCAUGGGGAGACUAGCAAAGCCUUGGAGCAAUCCAAUGGCGCCACAGGGGGGGCUCGCGGCCUAUCAGCUAGNGGGGGGGUAAUGGCCCACCAAGGCGACGACGGGUAGCUGGUCUGAGAGGAUGGCCAGCCACAUUGGGACUGAGAGACGGCCCAGACUCCUACGGGAGGCAGCAGUGGGGAAUCUUGCGCAAUGGCCGAAAGGCUGACGCAGCGACGCCGCGUGGGGGAGGAAGGCC